Non-coding RNA from Apis mellifera (honey bee), 92 nucleotides. NCBI's taxonomy places the organism in Eukaryota, Metazoa, Arthropoda, Insecta, Hymenoptera, Apidae. The record is from RefSeq and is marked provisional.
GGCUACUCGGAGGCUAGUUAUGACGGAGGGUCUGAGAGCGGGGGUUCCUGUUGGUGCGGGACUCACGUCGACUGGGUGUCCGCGCUAAGCUC